CAAUUUUCAAUAUAUUUACCCUUCAAAAUCAUCUUGCCAUCCAUUUUGAUGUUUGGAUUUAGCCAUAUGGACUGGGCCAGAAUAUCGGUAUUGUUUUCAACUUUCAACUUAUUUUUCAAUUUUGAAAAAUUUACCAGGAUAUCAUGCCAAAAGGGAUUGACUUUUUUUGCUAAAUAAAGCAAUCCUUCCUUACUUAAAUGUAAAAUUUUGUCCCCCCCCCAAAUUUUUGUAUAUAACUAAGCAGCAAAAACUUUCCAAGGAGAGUAAUUUUGGGGGUCUAGUAAUUUAUACAGCCAAGACAUUUUUACACUAUAACAAAAAUAGUAAAUAUUAGGCAUCUUAAGACCGCCAUCACAGUGUUCGGACAUAACCACUGUUCUUUUCACUUUAUCUGGUUUUCCUUUCCAUAAAAAAUUGAAAAAUAUAUUUUGAAUCUCCUUCAAAACCCCAUCUGGGGGGUUAGGAAGGACAGUCAGAACUUGAACCAAAAUGGGAAGUGCUAAAGUUUUAAUCACAACCACCCUCCCAAUAUAUGUUAGUUCUCUAUAAGCCCAAGUAUUAAGAAGUGACUUGAUACUGUUUAUCUUGGCUGUAAAAAAAUUACAUAGAGUCUUAUCCCUUUUAGCAAGCUCAAACCAUAUACCUAAUAGUUUGAACCUCCCAGAAAGGUUCCAAACAAGAUUUUUUUCUGGCAAAAGUUUUUCCAUACUACCCUUUUUUGACCCAAUCCAUA
This 733-nucleotide long non-coding RNA is filed under the name Mytilus galloprovincialis (Mediterranean mussel). The record is from RNAcentral. Lineage: Eukaryota; Metazoa; Mollusca; Bivalvia; Mytilida; Mytilidae.